RNAcentral lists this ribosomal RNA (482 nucleotides) under uncultured bacterium. Its description in RNAcentral is "bacterial SSU rRNA". It matches the Rfam family "Bacterial small subunit ribosomal RNA", at positions 30 to 507 of the family's 1533-position model. The record is from RNAcentral.
AUUGAACGCUGGCGGAAUGCUUUACACAUGCAAGUCGAACGGUAGAGGGGGCAACCCCUCGAGAGUGGCGAACGGGUGAGUAAUAUAUCGGAACGUGCCCAGUCGUGGGGGAUAACGUAGCGAAAGUUACGCUAAUACCGCAUACGAUCUACGGAUGAAAGCGGGGGACUCGCAAGAGCCUCGCGCGAUUGGAGCGGCCGAUAUCAGAUUAGGUAGUUGGUGGGGUAAAGGCUCACCAAGCCAACGAUCUGUAGCUGGUCUGAGAGGACGACCAGCCACACUGGAACUGAGACACGGUCCAGACUCCUACGGGAGGCAGCAGUGGGGAAUUUUGGACAAUGGACGCAAGUCUGAUCCAGCCAUUCCGCGUGCAGGAUGAAGGCCCUCGGGUUGUAAACUGCUUUUGUACGGAACGAAAAGGUCUCUAUUAAUACUAGGGGCUCAUGACGGUACCGUAAGAAUAAGCACCGGCUAACUACGUG